UUUGAAUGCUCUCCUUCUCACAAACUAUCUCGAAGGUUCCUAAAAACCCUAGCCUCUCUAAUCCUCUCCGACCAUGACCUUGCCGGAAUCCAUGGCUUCUCAAGCCAUACAUGGCGUGUACUCACCUCCACCAUUAAACCCUGGUUAUUCGAAGUUCCGAGGUCUGACCUCGAUGGUGUUCUUUCAAAGCUUCUCAAAUGCAUGGCCUUGAGGCCUCUUCGGCCUCGCUCCGGUGUAUCCUAGCAUCAAGAGCCUAUUUCUGACCUCUCCGACCCAAGAUCAGACUUUUUUUCAAGCCUUUCUCAUUUCUCGGGUUUCUGUGAGACCCUAAGCUAUUCGAGUUUUUUCUCU
This 351-nucleotide long non-coding RNA is filed under the name Nicotiana benthamiana. Its description in RNAcentral is "long non-coding RNA (NBEN_LNC037801)". The record is from RNAcentral. Lineage: Eukaryota; Viridiplantae; Streptophyta; Magnoliopsida; Solanales; Solanaceae.